RNAcentral lists this small RNA (122 nucleotides) under unclassified sequences. RNAcentral's name for it is "LOOT RNA". It matches the Rfam family "LOOT RNA". Rfam says of the family: Latescibacteria, OD1/Parcubacteria, OP11, TM7. Lineage (Microgenomates, aka OP11) The record is from Rfam by way of RNAcentral.
GACCUAAACUUUCAGAUUGUCUGGAAGCAUGGUCACAAAUCGCUCUAGACGGCAGAAAGCCCGUCAUUUAGGGAUACGUCUAGAGCGUCAUAGGGGGAAACUUCUAUGGGGUCGCAAGACCC